AGGUGGCGGUAAUGCACUUAUAAGUCUGUGGUCCGCCGUAAAGCAAAAAGAAGAAGAAAAAGACACCUCCUGCGCAGUUUGUAGAAGAAGAUGCGAAUGUGUUCUGACAUUGCGGUGCAAAUCAGAGGACAGAUAAACUAAAUCUGGUCUAAUAUCAUCACUUGGAAGCUAGCAGGAAUUCAUACAUGUGAAGGAAGUGAAUUCAUACAAGUGUUUACAUUCACUCACCUCUUCAUGCAGCCACCACUUGACAGCGCAGACUCUUCAGAGGCCUGCCUGAUGCCCAUCAGCGUGAGGGACUCAAGUCUUCAUCCUCCAUCAUCACAGCACAAAGACAUCUGGACGAUUGUCAAGGACGUCACAAUCUCUGUGAUAGCUGACAUAUCCCAUGGGGCAUUGCAGGAAAAGGAAAGCAAAGUCACUCUUGCGUGAGCAAAUACAGUAUGGGUGAUGAGGGGGAACAUGUAUGAAGAAGUAAUGCCAUGAUGUAUC
Carassius gibelio (silver crucian carp) is the source of this 492-nucleotide long non-coding RNA. RefSeq lists it as uncharacterized. NCBI's taxonomy places the organism in Eukaryota, Metazoa, Chordata, Actinopteri, Cypriniformes, Cyprinidae. The record is from RefSeq and is a predicted model, not a curated record. The transcript has 3 exons.